Molecule: ribosomal RNA, 465 nt
Filed under: Vreelandella stevensii
Lineage: Bacteria; Pseudomonadati; Pseudomonadota; Gammaproteobacteria; Oceanospirillales; Halomonadaceae
Description: partial 16S ribosomal RNA
Rfam family: Bacterial small subunit ribosomal RNA
Source: RNAcentral
CCUACGGGAGGCUGCAGUGGGGAAUAUUGGACAAUGGGCGAAAGCCUGAUCCAGCCAUGCCGCGUGUGUGAAGAAGGCCUUCGGGUUGUAAAGCACUUUCAGUGGGGAAGAAAGCCUUGGGGCUAAUACCCUCGAGGAAGGACAUCACCCACAGAAGAAGCACCGGCUAACUCCGUGCCAGCAGCCGCGGUAAUACGGAGGGUGCGAGCGUUAAUCGGAAUUACUGGGCGUAAAGCGCGCGUAGGCGGUCUGAUAAGCCGGUUGUGAAAGCCCCGGGCUCAACCUGGGAACGGCAUCCGGAACUGUCAGGCUAGAGUGCAGGAGAGAGAGGUAGAAUUCCCGGUGUAGCGGUGAAAUGCGUAGAGAUCGGGAGGAAUACCAGUGGCGAAGGCGGCCUUCUGGACUGACACUGACGCUGAGGUGCGAAAGCGUGGGUAGCAAACAGGAUUAGAUACCCUUGUAGUC